CCCUUAGAUGUCCUGGGCCGCACGCGCGCUACACUGAUGCAUUCAACGAGUAUUUCCUUGGCCGAGAGGCCUGGGCAAUCUUUUAAACCUGCAUCGUGAUAGGGAUAGAUUAUUGCAAUUAUUAAUCUUGAACGAGGAAUUCCUAGUAAACGCAAAUCAUCAAUUUGCAUUGAUUACGUCCCUGCCCUUUGUACACACCGCCCGUCGCACCUACCGAUUGAAUGGUCCGGUGAAAUCUCGGGAUUGUGGCCAGUUCACUUUAUUGGGAGUUGGCUGCGAGAACUUGCUUAAACCUUAUCAUUUAGAGAAAGGUGAAGUCGUAACA
This 325-nucleotide ribosomal RNA is filed under the name uncultured eukaryote. RNAcentral's name for it is "partial 18S ribosomal RNA". It matches the Rfam family "Eukaryotic small subunit ribosomal RNA", at positions 1470 to 1796 of the family's 1831-position model. The record is from RNAcentral.